GGCGACAGUGGGAAUAACGGGUGGGUUACCUUCCUUCAUACAGGGGGGAUAACCAUUUAAAAAAUAAAUGUUUAAUACCCGCAUAAGAUCCCCGGGUUUGCAUUGACUCAGUGGGAAAAAUUCCCGUGGGUAGAAGAUGGAACCCGCGUUUGAUUUAGGUAGUUGGUGGGUAUACGGCCUACCAAGCCGACGAUCAGUAGCCGACCUGAGAGGGUGACCGGCCACAUUUGGACUGAGACCCGGCCCAAACUUCCUACGGGAGGCAGCAGUGGGGAAUAUUGCACAAUGGGGGAAACCCUGAUGCAGCGACGCCGCGUGAGCGACGAAGUAUUUCGGUAUGUAAAGCUCUAUCAGCAGGGAAGAAAAUGACGGUACCUGACUAAGAAGCACCGGCUAAAUACGUGCCAGCAGCCGCGGUAAUACGUAUGGUGCACGCCUUAUCCGGAUUUACUGGGUGUAAAGGGAGCGUAGACGGCUGUGUAAGUCUGAAGUGAAAGCCCGGGGCUCAACCCCGGGACUGCUUUGGAAACUAUGCAGCUAGAGUGUCGGAGAGGUAAGUGGAAUUCCCAGUGUAGCGGUGAAAUGCGUAGAUAUUGGGAGGAACACCAGUGGCGAAGGCGGCUUACUGGACGAUGACUGACGUUGAGGCUCGAAAGCGUGGGGAGCAAACAGGAUUAGAUACCCUGGUAGUCCACGCCGUAAACGAUGACUACUAGGUGUCGGGUGUCACAGACAUUCGGUGCCGCAGCAAACGCA
RNAcentral lists this ribosomal RNA (756 nucleotides) under uncultured bacterium. RNAcentral's name for it is "bacterial SSU rRNA". It matches the Rfam family "Bacterial small subunit ribosomal RNA", at positions 97 to 859 of the family's 1533-position model. The record is from RNAcentral.